Molecule: ribosomal RNA, 433 nt
Filed under: uncultured bacterium
Lineage: Bacteria
Description: partial 16S ribosomal RNA
Rfam family: Bacterial small subunit ribosomal RNA
Source: RNAcentral
AACGAACGCUGGCGGCAGGCUUAACACAUGCAAGUCGAGCGAGACCUUCGGGUCUAGCGGCGGACGGGUGAGUAACGCGUGGGAACGUGCCCUUCUCUACGGAAUAGCCCCGGGAAACUGGGAGUAAUACCGUAUACGCCCUUUGGGGGAAAGAUUUAUCGGAGAAGGAUCGACCCGCGUUGGAUUAGGUAGUUGGUGGGGUAAUGGCCCACCAAGCCGACGAUCCAUAGCUGGUUUGAGAGGAUGAUCAGCCACACUGGGACUGAGACACGGCCCAGACUCCUACGGGAGGCAGCAGUGGGGAAUCUUAGACAAUGGGGGCAACCCUGAUCUAGCCAUGCCGCGUGAGUGAUGAAGGCCUUAGGGUUGUAAAGCUCUUUCAGCUGGGAAGAUAAUGACGGUACCAGCAGAAGAAGCCCCGGCUAACUCCGUG